This 253-nucleotide ribosomal RNA is filed under the name uncultured bacterium. Its description in RNAcentral is "partial 16S ribosomal RNA". It matches the Rfam family "Bacterial small subunit ribosomal RNA", at positions 524 to 776 of the family's 1533-position model. The record is from RNAcentral.
UACGUAGGGGGCGAGCGUUGUCCGGAAUCAUUGGGCGUAAAGCGCGUGUAGGCGGCCCGGUAAGUCCGCUGUGAAAGUCCAGGGCUCACCCCUGGGAUGCCGGUGGAUACUGUCGGGCUCGAGUCCGGAAGAGGCGAGUGGAAUUCCUGGUGUAGCGGUGAAAUGCGCAGAUAUCAGGAGGAACACCAAUGGCGAAGGCAGCUCGCUGGGACGUGACUGACGCUGAGACGCGAAAGCGUGGGGAGCAAACAGG